CCUACGGGAGGCAGCAGUGAGGAAUAUUGGUCAAUGGGCGCGAGCCUGAACCAGCCAAGUCGCGUGAGGGAAGACGGUCCUAUGGAUUGUAAACCUCUUUUGUCGGGGAGCAAAAGACGCCACGCGUGGCGUUCCGUGAGUACCCGAUGAAAAAGCAUCGGCUAACUCCGUUCCAGCCGCCGCGGUAAUACGGGGGAUGCGAGCGUUAUCCGGAUUUAUUGGGUUAAAAGGGUGCGCAGGCGGAAGAUCAAGUCAGCGGUAAAAUUGAGGGGCUCAACCUCGUCGAGCCGUUGAAACUGGUUUUCUUGAGUGAGUGAGAGGUAUGCGGAAUGCGUGGUGUAGCGGUGAAAUGCAUAGAUAUCACGAAGAACUCCGAUUGCGAAGGCAGCAUACCGGCGCUCAACUGACGCUCAUGCACGAAAGUGUGGGUAUCGAACAGGAUUAGAUACCCGAGUAGUC
This 459-nucleotide ribosomal RNA is filed under the name uncultured bacterium. RNAcentral describes it as "partial 16S ribosomal RNA". It matches the Rfam family "Bacterial small subunit ribosomal RNA", at positions 338 to 795 of the family's 1533-position model. The record is from RNAcentral.